UACGGGAGGCAGCAGUGGGGAAUAUUGCACAAUGGGCGAAAGCCUGAUGCAGCUAUGCCGCGUGUAUGAAGAAGGCCUUAGGGUUGUAAAGUACUUUCAUCGGGGAGGAAAAAACAAAACUAAUAAUUUUAUUUCUUGACGUUACCCGAAAAAGAAGCACCGGCUAACUCCGUGCCAGCAGCCGCGGUAAUACGGAGGGUGCUAGCGUUAAUCAGAAUUACUGGGCGUAAAGAGCACGUAGGUGGUUUUUUUAAAGUCAGAUGUGAAAUCCCUGGGCUUAACCUAGGAACUGCAUUUUGAAACUGAAAUACUAGAGUAUCGUAGAGGGAGGUAGAAUUCUAGGUGUAGCGGUGAAAUGCGUAGAUAUCUGGAGGAAUACCUGUGGCGAAAGCGGCCUCCUAAACGAAUACUGACACUGAGGUGCGAAAGCGUGGGAAGCAAACAGGGAUUAGAUACC
RNAcentral lists this ribosomal RNA (457 nucleotides) under uncultured bacterium. RNAcentral describes it as "bacterial SSU rRNA". It matches the Rfam family "Bacterial small subunit ribosomal RNA", at positions 340 to 786 of the family's 1533-position model. The record is from RNAcentral.